This 303-nucleotide ribosomal RNA is filed under the name uncultured bacterium. RNAcentral's name for it is "bacterial SSU rRNA". It matches the Rfam family "Bacterial small subunit ribosomal RNA", at positions 355 to 675 of the family's 1533-position model. The record is from RNAcentral.
UAGGGAAUAUUGCUCAAUGGGGGAAACCCUGAAGCAGCAACGCCGCGUGGAGGAUGAAGGUUUUCGGAUUGUAAACUCCUUUUGUUAGAGAAGAUAAUGACGGUAUCUAACGAAUAAGCACCGGCUAACUCCGUGCCAGCAGCCGCGGUAAUACGGAGGGUGCAAGCGUUACUCGGAAUCACUGGGCGUAAAGAGCGCGUAGGCGGGAUAGCAAGUCAGAUGUGAAAUCCUAUGGCUUAACCAUAGAACUGCAUUUGAAACUGUUAUUCUAGAGUAUGGGAGAGGUAGGUGGAAUUCUUGGUG